GAGACAUUAACAAAAAUAUAUUUCUUCUUUAGAAUGUGGUUUCUCAUUUUCUGUGGACAUGACCUUUAAAAAAUACUCACUAGGUUUGUUUUCUGCUAUACUGGUAGCAUCCAGUCUUUUGAAACAUUU
Molecule: small nucleolar RNA, 129 nt
Filed under: Erinaceus europaeus (western European hedgehog)
Lineage: Eukaryota; Metazoa; Chordata; Mammalia; Eulipotyphla; Erinaceidae
Description: Small nucleolar RNA SNORA32 (ENSEEUG00000018280.1)
Source: RNAcentral